GAGUUUGAUCAUGGCUCAGGAUGAACGCUGGCGGCGUGCCUAACACAUGCAAGUCGAACGGAGUUCUUAAGGAAUGCGGCUUCGGCCAAAUGACUUUUGAACUUAGUGGCGGACGGGUGAGUAACGCGUGAGCAACCUGCCUUUCAGAGGGGGAUAACAUUUGGAAACAGAUGCUAAUACCGCAUAAGAUUACAGUACCGCAUGAUACAGUGAUCAAAGGAGCAAUCCGCUGAAAGAUGGGCUCGCGUCCGAUUAGAUAGUUGGUGAGGUAACGGCUCACCAAGUCGACGAUCGGUAGCCGGACUGAGAGGUUGAACGGCCACAUUGGGACUGAGACACGGCCCAGACUCCUACGGGAGGCAGCAGUGGGGAAUAUUGCACAAUGGCGAAAGCCUGAUGCAGCAACGCCGCGUGAGGGAAGACGGUUUCGGAUUGUAAACCUCUGUUUCGGUGACGAACAAAUGACGGUAACCGAGUAGGAAGCCACGGCUAACUACGUGCCAGCAGCCGACCG
This 514-nucleotide ribosomal RNA is filed under the name uncultured microorganism. Its description in RNAcentral is "bacterial SSU rRNA". It matches the Rfam family "Bacterial small subunit ribosomal RNA", at positions 9 to 520 of the family's 1533-position model. The record is from RNAcentral.